GAUGAAGAACGUAGCGAAAUGCGAUAAGUAAUGUGAAUUGCAGAAUUCAGUGAAUCAUCGAAUCUUUGAACGCACCUUGCACCCUUUGGUAUUCCGAAGGGUAUGCUCGUUUGAGUGUCAUUGUACUCUCACACUUCUAAUUCCUUUCGGGAUUGGGAGCGGUGGACUUGGGUGUUGCUGCUUUAGUUGUGGCUCACCUCAAAUAAGUUAGUGCAACUCUUGGUUGGACAUAGUACGGCGUGAUAAGUGUCUUCGCCGGCGCCUCUGUAAGGAGGGUGGCCGAUCGGGAGCUCUGUGCUUCAAACCGUCUUCGGACAAUCUUUGACAACUUGACCUCAAAUCGAGUAGGACUACCCGCUGAACUUAAGCAUAACAAUAAGCGGAGGA
Molecule: unclassified non-coding RNA, 387 nt
Filed under: soil metagenome
Description: partial contains 5.8S ribosomal RNA, internal transcribed spacer 2, and large subunit ribosomal RNA
Rfam family: 5.8S ribosomal RNA (bases 1-120)
Source: RNAcentral